RNAcentral lists this ribosomal RNA (474 nucleotides) under uncultured bacterium. RNAcentral describes it as "bacterial SSU rRNA". It matches the Rfam family "Bacterial small subunit ribosomal RNA", at positions 1 to 507 of the family's 1533-position model. The record is from RNAcentral.
CGUACGACGUAGUUUGAUCCUGGCUCAGAGCGAACGCUAGCGGCAGGCUUAACACAUGCAAGUCGAACGAAGUUCUUCGGAACUUAGUGGCGAACGGGUGAGUAACACGUAGGUAAUGUACCCUUUGGUGGAGGAUAACUCAGGGAAACCUGAGCUAAUACUGCAUAUGUCCUUCGGGAUAAAAGUCUUCGGACGCCUUAGGAGCAGCCUGCGGCCCAUUAUCUAAUCCUAGUUGGUAGGGUAACGGCCUACCAAGGGUACGAUGGGUAGCUGGUCUGAGAGGAUGAUCAGCCACACUGGGACUGAGACACGGCCCAGACUCCUACGGGAGGCAGCAGGUGGGGAAUAUUGGACAAUGGGGGAAACCCUGAUCCAGCAAUGCCGCGUGAAUGAAGAAGGCCUUAGGGUUGUAAAAUUCUUUUGUUCGUGAAGAUAAUGACGGUAGCGGACGAAUAAGCCCUGGCUAACUCUGUG